GUAACUCCGUUACAUUAAGUUCUAGGUAAAUAUUUGAUAAUGACAUUAUUUAUCUAUAAGUCUUGACCAAGUCUCGUGCCAGCAGUCGCGGUAACACGGGGAAGACGAGUGUUAUUCAUCUUUAUUUGGUUUAAAGGGUACCUAGACAGUUAAUCAAGCCUACAUCAGGGACUAAUUAGACUAGAGUUUUAUAGGAGAAGGCUAGAACGGUGAGUUGAGAGAUGAAAUUCUUUGAUACCACUUAGAUACUGACAUAGGCGAAAGCAACCUUUUAUGUAAAAACUGACGUUGAGGGACGAAGGCUUUAUAUAAUUAACAGGAUUAGAUACCCAAGUAGUCNAAGCAGACAAUGAUGAGUGUCAUAUGUAAGUAUUUUAAUAAAAAUGUAAAAUUUAAAUUAAACCUUAUCUACAUAUAAAUGAAAGUGUAAGCACUCCACCUUAAGAGUAACAUGGCAACAUAGGAACUGAAAUCAUUAGACCGUUUCUGAAACCAGUAGUGAAGUAUGUUGUUUAAUUUGAUGAUCCACAAAGAACCUUACCACAAUUUGAAUAGAUUUCUUAAAAAAGAAAUUUACAGGAGUUGCACGGCUGUCUUCAGUUGAUAUCGUGAGAUUUUGGUUAGCUCCAUUUAAUCAACGUAAACCCUUACUUUAUUUUCUAUAUAAAGUAGUUCGCCGAU
Molecule: ribosomal RNA, 681 nt
Filed under: Porina nitidula
Lineage: Eukaryota; Fungi; Ascomycota; Lecanoromycetes; Ostropales; Porinaceae
Description: SSU rRNA
Rfam family: Bacterial small subunit ribosomal RNA
Source: RNAcentral